RNAcentral lists this small RNA (239 nucleotides) under Drosophila virilis. Its description in RNAcentral is "GJ26324". The record is from RNAcentral. Lineage: Eukaryota; Metazoa; Arthropoda; Insecta; Diptera; Drosophilidae.
AGUGAAUGGAAUUUUGGGCAGUCGAAAAAUUCCAAAAACAAAUGCGCGCACACGCAAAAGUGAAAUAAUUAGCAUAAUCUCGAUUCCGAGCGACGUUCGUUUUCUGAAUUCCAAAUGAAGUCAUGAGCAGCAGAUUGUAUGAAAACCAACAGCAACAACGAAGGCAGCAGCUAAACAACAAGACAAAAGUCGUUGUCGCAUUAUUACAACAAGAAAAGCUGUAAAAUAAAAAAAAAAAG